AACGAACGCUGGCGGCAGGCUUAACACGUGCAAGUCGAACGCCCCGCAAGGGGAGUGGCCGACGGGUGAGUAACGCGUGGGAACAUACCCUUUUCUACGGAAUAGCUCUGGGAAACUGGAAUUAAUACCGUAUACGCCCUACGGGGGAAAGAUUUAUCGGGGAAGGAUUGGCCCGCGUUGGAUUAGCUAGUUGGUGGGGUAAAGGCCUACCAAGGCGACGAUCCAUAGCUGGUCUGAGAGGAUGAUCAGCCACAUUGGGACUGAGACACGGCCCAAACUCCUACGGGAGGCAGCAGUGGGGAAUAUUGGACAAUGGGCGCAAGCCUGAUCCAGCCAUGCCGCGUGAGUGAUGAAGGCCUUAGGGUUGUAAAGCUCUUUCACCGAUGAAGAUAAUGACGGUAGUCGGAGAAGAAGCCCCGGCUAACUUCGU
This 430-nucleotide ribosomal RNA is filed under the name uncultured bacterium. Its description in RNAcentral is "partial 16S ribosomal RNA". It matches the Rfam family "Bacterial small subunit ribosomal RNA", at positions 29 to 506 of the family's 1533-position model. The record is from RNAcentral.